GAGUUCUGUCGGAUAACUGCGCGAAUCGAAAGAGAGUGAGGAAAGUCCGGACACCGAGGAAUGAAUGAACCGGAUAACAUCCGGAGUGAGUGUUUCGCAAGAGAUACUUGCAUGGAAAGUGCCACAGAAAAUAUACCGCCUGAUAAAAGUGGCAAAGUUGCCUAAGCAGCCAAGCUAUAUUCGGGUAAGGGUGAAAUGGCGAGGUAAGAGCUCACCGCCUAGUUCGUAAGAAGUAGGGCAGGGUAAACCCUUCAUGGUGCAAUCUCAAGUAAGCAACCGUUUGAGCCCAUUCCGCUAGGUUGCGGGUAGAGAGCAAAGAGUUUUAAGGUAACUUGAAACCAAGAUAAAUAGUUAUCCAUUGCCUAAAAGGGGUUAAUCCCGAUUAGGCGAGGACAGAAUCCGGCUUAUAGACAGAAUUCAUUU
RNAcentral lists this RNase P RNA (423 nucleotides) under Leptospiraceae bacterium. RNAcentral describes it as "RNase P RNA component class A". It matches the Rfam family "Bacterial RNase P class A". From Rfam's summary of the family: Ribonuclease P (RNase P) is a ubiquitous endoribonuclease, found in archaea, bacteria and eukarya as well as chloroplasts and mitochondria. Lineage: Bacteria; Pseudomonadati; Spirochaetota; Leptospiria; Leptospirales; Leptospiraceae. The record is from RNAcentral.